CCCCGGGCGGUGCCUCCAGGACUGUCCAACCUGAGAAUGGUGUCUCCGGGGUCAAUCUCAGGUUCGUCAGCCCGUGAGGUGCCACCCCUUU
This 91-nucleotide microRNA precursor is filed under the name Felis catus (domestic cat). RNAcentral's name for it is "mir-1388 microRNA precursor family". It matches the Rfam family "mir-1388 microRNA precursor family". The record is from Rfam by way of RNAcentral. Lineage: Eukaryota; Metazoa; Chordata; Mammalia; Carnivora; Felidae.